AUGACAUCAAUUGACAGCGCCAAUCCUUUCGAUCCUUCCCGACUUUUGGACGUGGAGAAGCAUUGCCGGGAAGCGGGUGCAUCGGAGCACACUGCUAUUCACUUCCGGGUGUACAAGUCAGAGCAGAAGUACAUGAUACUCAUGUGCUCUGAUCUAAGAAGUUCUUCAUUGAGACAAGGACUAUACACACCAGCCUAUGGAGGCUUCUUUGAAUUUGAUCUUCAAAAGGAAAAGAAGAUAUCUCUGAGAACUCUGAUUGAUCCGUCAGCGGUGAAGAGCUUUGGCGGUGGUGGCAGGGUCUGCAACAUGGCCAGAGUUUAUCCCAUAGCGGUUGUCGACAGUGGGGCCCACAUGUGUGCCUUCAACAACGGCAGUACCACGAUCAGAGCACGUCCAGGACUGAUAGGGUGCCACUUUUGCAGUUUGAGCAAUACUGAACAACAUACUGGCUGUCAAGUGUCAUUUAUACAUAACAUCAAGACGCCGUCUUACAAUCUCACCGUACAGCCCGUGCGUGCUCCAUUCGAGCAACUCAGCUUUGCACGUCGCUUCGCCGGCAUCGCCACUAACACCAAAGACAACGAGCCAUCAGAACAUCUCCUCUGCCGCAUCAGUGCUGACAGCAAAGACAACAAGCCAUUCAUUAUCUCCUUCCACCUGCCAUGCAUAAAUUAA
This 675-nucleotide ribosomal RNA is filed under the name Triticum aestivum (bread wheat). RNAcentral's name for it is "partial small subunit ribosomal RNA". The record is from RNAcentral. Lineage: Eukaryota; Viridiplantae; Streptophyta; Magnoliopsida; Poales; Poaceae.